UUGACCUCAAAUCGGGUGGGACUACCCGCUGAACUUAAGCAUAUCAAUAAGCGGAGGAAAAGAAACUAACAAGGAUUCCCCUAGUAACGGCGAGUGAAGAGGGAAAAGCUCAAAUUUUGAAUCUGGUGUCUUUGACUCCCGAGUUGUAAUCUAGAGAAGUGUUUUCCGUGUCGGACCGUGCACAAGUUCCCUGGAACGGGGCGUCAUAGAGGGUGAGAAUCCCGUAUAUGGCAYGGACUGCCGAUGCUCUGUGAUACACUCUCAACGAGUCGAGUUGUUUGGGAAUGCAGCUCAAAAUGGGUGGUAAAUUCCAUCUAAAGCUAAAUAUUGGCGAGAGACCGAUAGCGAACAAGUACCGUGAGGGAAAGAUGAAAAGCACUUUGGAAAGAGAGUGAAACAGUACGUGAAAUUGUUGAAAGGGAAGCGUUUGAAGUCAGUCAUCUCUGGCGGGAUUCAUCUGGGCUUCUGCCCGGUGUACUUUCCGUCCGACGGGUCAGCAUCAAUUCAGACCGAGGGAAAAAGACAUGCGGAAUGUGGCUGUCCUCGGGCAGUGUUAUAGCCCCGUGUUGUAUGCCUCGGUUGGGAUUGAGGAACGCAGCGCGCCUAUAGGCCAGGGGCUACCCGCCUCUUGACACGCGCUUAGGAUGC
RNAcentral lists this ribosomal RNA (648 nucleotides) under uncultured Sebacinales. Its description in RNAcentral is "eukaryotic LSU rRNA". It matches the Rfam family "Eukaryotic large subunit ribosomal RNA", at positions 1 to 637 of the family's 3401-position model. Lineage: Eukaryota; Fungi; Basidiomycota; Agaricomycetes; Sebacinales. The record is from RNAcentral.